This 568-nucleotide small RNA is filed under the name Pan troglodytes (chimpanzee). RNAcentral describes it as "retained intron". The record is from RNAcentral. Lineage: Eukaryota; Metazoa; Chordata; Mammalia; Primates; Hominidae.
CAGAAUGUGGGUGAGGGUGGCGCCUAUGAGGCUGAGCUUCGGGUCACCGCCCCUCCAGAGGCUGAGUACUCAGGACUCGUCAGACACCCAGGGGUGAGAUGAGACUCUCGAGUGGGAUUUGGGAGGAUACCCCUCUAGAGGGGACACCAAAACCUGACCAGUGCCCACCCCAUCUCCAGAACUUCUCCAGCCUGAGCUGUGACUACUUUGCCGUGAACCAGAGCCGCCUGCUGGUGUGUGACCUGGGCAACCCCAUGAAGGCAGGAGCCAGUCUGUGGGGUGGCCUUCGGUUUACAGUCCCUCAUCUCCGGGACACUAAGAAAACCAUCCAGUUUGACUUCCAGAUCCUCAGGUAGGGAGUGAGUGUGUCUAGGCUGGGGCUGAGCUGGGGACGGAAGGGAGGGCUGGGCGCCAUUCUCACUGGCUGCACUCCAGCACCUCAGUCUUGCCUCCAUCCCACAGCAAGAAUCUCAACAACUCGCAAAGCGACGUGGUUUCCUUCCGGCUCUCCGUGGAGGCUCAGGCCCAGGUCACCCUGAACGGGUCAGUGCCAGGCAGAAUGGGGUCU